This 482-nucleotide ribosomal RNA is filed under the name uncultured bacterium. RNAcentral's name for it is "partial 16S ribosomal RNA". It matches the Rfam family "Bacterial small subunit ribosomal RNA", at positions 30 to 507 of the family's 1533-position model. The record is from RNAcentral.
AUUGAACGCUGGCGGCAUGCCUUACACAUGCAAGUCGAACGGUAACAGGUCUUCGGAUGCUGCCGAGUGGCGAACGGGUGAGUAAUACAUCGGAACGUGCCCGAUCGUGGGGGAUAACGGAGCGAAAGCUUUGCUAAUACCGCAGACGAUCUACGGAUGAAAGCAGGGGACCGCAAGGCCUUGCGCGGACGGGGCGGCCGAUGGCAGAUUAGGUAGUUGGUGGGAUAAAAGCUUACCAAGCCGACGAUCUGUAGCUGGUCUGAGAGGACGACCAGCCACACUGGGACUGAGACACGGCCCAGACUCCUACGGGAGGCAGCAGUGGGGAAUUUUGGACAAUGGGCGAAAGCCUGAUCCAGCCAUGCCGCGUGCAGGAUGAAGGCCUUCGGGUUGUAAACUGCUUUUGUACGGAACGAAAAGACUCUUUCUAAUAAAGAGGGUCCAUGACGGUACCGUAAGAAUAAGCACCGGCUAACUACGUG